AACGAACGCUGGCGGUAUGCCUAACACAUGCAAGUCGAACGAGAUCUUCGGGUCUAGUGGCGCACGGGUGCGUAACGCGUGGGAAUCUGCCCUUUGGUUCGGAAUAACAGUUGGAAACGACUGCUAAUACCGGAUGAUGACGAAAGUCCAAAGAUUUAUCGCCAGAGGAUGAGCCCGCGUAGGAUUAGCUAGUUGGUGUGGUAAAGGCGCACCAAGGCGACGAUCCUUAGCUGGUCUGAGAGGAUGAUCAGCCACACUGGGGCGGAGACACGGCCCAGACGCCGACGGGAGGCAGCAGUGGGGAAUAGUGGACAAUGGGCGAAAGCCUGAUCCAGCAAUGCCGCGUGAGUGAUGAAGGCCUGAGGGUUGUAAAGCUCUUUUACCCGGGAUGAUAAUGACAGUACCGGGAGAAUAAGCUCCGGCUAACUCCGUGCCAGCCGCCGCGGUAA
Molecule: ribosomal RNA, 449 nt
Filed under: uncultured bacterium
Lineage: Bacteria
Description: partial 16S ribosomal RNA
Rfam family: Bacterial small subunit ribosomal RNA
Source: RNAcentral